AGAGUUUGAUCCUGGCUCAGGAUGAACGCUGGCGGCGUGCUUAACACAUGCAAGUCGAACGAAGCACUUUAAUUGAUUUCUUCGGAAUGAAGUUUUUGUGACUGAGUGGCGGACGGGUGAGUAACGCGUGGGUAACCUGCCUCAUACAGGGGGAUAACAGUUAGAAAUGACUGCUAAUACCGCAUAAGACCACGGAGUCGCAUGGCUCAGUGGGAAAAACUCCGGUGGUAUGAGAUGGACCCGCGUCUGAUUAGGUAGUUGGUGGGGUAACGGCCUACCAAGCCAACGAUCAGUAGCUGACCUGAGAGGGUGACCGGCCACAUUGGGACUGAGACACGGCCCAAACUCCUACGGGAGGCAGCAGUGGGGAAUAUUGCACAAUGGGGGAAACCCUGAUGCAGCGACGCCGCGUGAGCGAAGAAGUAUUUCGGUAUGUAAAGCUCUAUCAGCAGGGAAGAAAAUGACGGUACCCGACUAAGAAGCACCGGCUAAAUACGUGCCAGCAGCCGCGGUAAUACGUAUGGUGCAAGCGUUAUCCGGAUUUACUGGGCGUAAAGGGUGCGUAGGCGGUCUUUCAAGUCAGGAGUUAAAGGCUACGGCUCAACCGUAGUAAGCUCCUGAUACUGUCUGACUUGAGUGCAGGAGAGGAAAGCGGAAUUCCCAGUGUAGCGGUGAAAUGCGUAGAUAUUGGGAGGAACACCAGUAGCGAAGGCGGCUUUCUGGACUGUAACUGACGCUGAGGCACGAAAGCGUGGGGAGCAAACAGGAUUAGAUACCCUGGUAGUCCACGCUGUAAACGAUGAGUACUAGGUGUCUGAGGUUACCCCCUUCGGGCGAGCAGUAUACGCAUUAAGUAUUCCGCCUGGGGAGUACGCAGCGCAGGUGAGAAAUUCAAAGGAAUAGUCGGGGACCCGCACAAGUAGCGGAGCAUGUGGGUAAAUUAGAAAGCAACGCGAAGAGCCUUACCAGGUCUUGACAUCCCCCUGACCGGUCCGUAACGGGACCUUUCCUUCGGGACAGGGGAGACAGGUGGUGCAUGGUUGUCGUCAGCUCGUGUCGUGAGAUGUUGGGUUAAGUCCCGCAACGAGCGCAACCCCUAUUUCCAGUAGCCAGCAGUAAGAUGGGAACUCUGGAGAGACUGCCGGGGAUAACCCGGAGGAAGGUGGGGACGACGUCAAAUCAUCAUGCCCCUUAUGAUCUGGGCUACACACGUGCUACAAUGGCGUUCACAAAGGGAAGCGAAGCUGUGAAGCGGAGCAAACCCCAAAAAGGACGUCUCAGUUCGGAUUGUAGUCUGCAACUCGACUACAUGAAGCUGGAAUCGCUAGUAAUCGCGAAUCAGAAUGUCGCGGUGAAUACGUUCCCGGGUCUUGCACUCACCGCCCGUCA
Molecule: ribosomal RNA, 1389 nt
Filed under: uncultured bacterium
Lineage: Bacteria
Description: bacterial SSU rRNA
Rfam family: Bacterial small subunit ribosomal RNA
Source: RNAcentral